GAAUAUCUACCAUGUUAUUUUAAACCUGCUGCUCUGCCCUGUGCUUUAACAACUGACAGGAAGUAACUGUAGACCCAUUACCAUGUUUUCAUUUCCUUUUAACCAUCAACAUCACAGCACCUUCUAAUGAUGAACAUGUAACAGAAUACACACAUUACAGACAGAGUACACACAUUACAGACAGAAUACACACACAUUACAGACAGAACACACACAUUACUGACAGAAUACACACAUUACAGGCAGAAUACACACAUUACAGACAGAAUACACACAUUACAGACAGAAUACACACACAUUACAGACAGAACACACACAUUACUGACAGAAUACACACAUUACAGACAGAAUACACACAUUACAGACAGAAAACUCAAUUUAGGCCAAACAAUUCAUGGCAGUUACAUAGGCUAAAUAAAUAAAUAAAUAAAUAAAUAAAUAAAUAAAUAAAUAAAUAAAUAAAUAAAUAGUGAAAUCCUGAAGAAAAAAAUAGUAAGUUCACUACAUUUCCAUGUAGAGUUUAAUAUAUACAGUCAUGUGACCAGAAUUAGGACCCCUUCAAAGCAUGUUUUUUUUAAAUAGUUAAAUAUAUUUGCAUUUAAAUAUUAUUUUAACAGUUUUGAAAAAAAAAUCAAGUAAUAAAAUUAAACAAAUAAAACCAAAGAAAAGUCUUUUUUUUUAAUUAUCUAUGAAACAUAAAAUAAAAAUCUAAUUUGUGAAUAAACAGUAAGGACACCCCCACAUGUAUUUGUACUUAAAAUAAAUAAAAUGACCUACUGGUGUAUCACAUCAGAUGUAAAUUAUUAGGACUUUGUUACAGAGCAUUUUGAAGACUUUUGUCUCAUUUAAACCUCAGAUAUUUCGUUUGAUUUGCUCUUAAUUGUUGAAGUGAGAGGUUUCACCAUGGUGAGAUCCAAAGAGCUCUCUGAGGCCUUCAGAGCAAAGAUGUUUAUAAUGUUUGUUGAUGUUUAUGAGUCUGGUAAGAGAUAUAAAAAGAUUUCAAAAGAAUUUAUAAUCAGACAUUCCACCGUCCGGAAAUCAUUUACAAGUGGAAAACAUUUAAAACACCUGCCAUCAUGGACAAGUCAGGACGUCCAAGUACAUUCAACCUGAGACCAGACUGCAAGAUGAUUAAAGAGGUCUCCAAAAAACCCUACAAUAUCAUCACAGGACCUACAGCAAGCUUGUGCUCCAGUUGAUGUCAAAGUGCAUGAAUCUACAAUCAGUAAGAGACUGAACCACUUUAAAUAUCAUUGGAGGUCUGAAGGAGAAAACUUUUACUGUUUAAAAAAAUCAUGAGGACAAGACUGAAGUUUGAGAAAGAACAGAGAGAAAGGACAAGACUUCUGUAAUAAUGUGCUGUAGACAGAUGAGUCUUAACCUGAAUUAUUACACACCAUAACAGAGGGGAUGUUUAGUGUAAACCAAAUACAGCAAUUCAGGAAAAAAAAAACUACAUAUAAACUGUGAAACAUGGAGGAUGAAGUGUUCUGGUUUAGAGAUGCUGUGCUGCAGCAGGACCUGGUCAGAUCACCAUCAUAUAACCUACUAUGAAUUCUACAUUGUAUCAGAAGGUGCUUGAAGAACAUAUGAAACCAUCUGUGAAAAAUGUUAAGCGAAGCAAAACUGAUUUUUGUUGUUUACAUGCAAUUACAUCAUUUCAUCUACAGGUAAAAAUUAAAACUAGAUCAGAAAUUGACAUGUUGACAUUUCCUUUUAAAGAACUGGGUAUUUAAUGAUGUGUCCAAAUUUUUUCACAUGACUGUAUAUUAGGUUGUGAGGAGGAGUUCAAUUAGGUGAAAUUAACAUAAUCAGUGUGAUGACAUGAGCAGAGAAAGACCAAGGAGUCAGCACUGGAAGAUAUUCAGCAAGAGUUUUUUUUCUUAAACAAAGAAAGUGUGGUUUAACUUACUCAGUUUAAAAAGGAUUAAAAUUGCUGUUGAUUUUAAUUUUUUUAGCCCAAUUCAAAAUUUGCUUUUGUCUUUUCGUGAACAAAUUGUGGCCUGGACUGAAGAAUUUAAUUUUGAGCUUAAUAUUGAGAAACAGAAGAAAUAGCUUACCUGGAUGACAGAGUGAGUCGAUUAUGGACUUUUCUUCACAAACAUUUAGUGGAUCAUUUUUUUACCCCUAGUCACGACUGUCGUGCCUGUUGCUCUAGUGCUGCUUCUCAUUGGCCUUUUAUCAGCUGGAGUGAUACGGUGUAAAAAAAAGACCCAAGGCUCUGGAACAAUGACACAAUAUUCCAGACAGACAAAUGAAGAUUAUGAAAAUGAUC
Molecule: long non-coding RNA, 2275 nt
Organism: Tachysurus fulvidraco (yellow catfish)
Lineage: Eukaryota; Metazoa; Chordata; Actinopteri; Siluriformes; Bagridae
Exons: 3
Source: RefSeq, a predicted model, not a curated record